Molecule: ribosomal RNA, 1487 nt
Filed under: uncultured prokaryote
Description: partial 16S ribosomal RNA
Rfam family: Bacterial small subunit ribosomal RNA
Source: RNAcentral
CUGGCGGCAGGCUUAACACAUGCAAGUCGAGCGGUAACAUUUCUAGCUUGCUAGAAGAUGACGAGCGGCGGACGGGUGAGUAACGCGUGGGAAUCUACCUAGUAGUGGGGGACAACAGUUGGAAACGACUGCUAAUACCGCAUACGCCCUACGGGGGAAAGUGGGGGACCUUCGGGCCUCACGCUACUGGAUGAGCCCAUGUAAGAUUAGCUAGUUGGUGGGGUAAAGGCCUACCAAGGCGACGAUCUUUAGCUGGUCUGAGAGGAUGAUCAGCCACACUGGGACUGAGACACGGCCCAGACUCCUACGGGAGGCAGCAGUGGGGAAUAUUUGCACAAUGGGCGCAAGCCUGAUGCAGCCAUGCCGCGUGUGUGAAGAAGGCCUUCGGGUUGUAAAGCACUUUCAGCUGUGAGGAAAGGUUGUGUCUUAAUACGGCAUUGCUGUGACGUUAACAGCAGAAGAAGCACCGGCUAACUCCGUGCCAGCAGCCGCGGUAAUACGGAGGGUGCAAGCGUUAAUCGGAAUUACUGGGCGUAAAGCGCGCGUAGGCGGCUAUUUAAGUCAGAUGUGAAAGCCCCGGGCUCAACCUGGGAACUGCACCUGAUACUGGAUAGCUAGAGUACAGAAGAGGGUGGUGGAAUUUCCUGUGUAGCGGUGAAAUGCGUAGAUAUAGGAAGGAACAUCAGUGGCGAAGGCGGCCACCUGGUCUGAUACUGACGCUGAGGUGCGAAAGCGUGGGGAGCAAACAGGAUUAGAUCCCCUGGUAGUCCACGCCGUAAACGAUGUCUACUUGCCGUUGGAAGACUUGAUCUUUUAGUGGCGCAGCUAACGCAAUAAGUUGACCGCCUGGGGAGUACGGCCGCAAGGUUAAAACUCAAAUGAAUUGACGGGGGCCCGCACAAGCGGUGGAGCAUGUGGUUUAAUUCGACGCAACGCGAAGAACCUUACCUACUCUUGACAUCCUCAGAACUUAGCAGAGAUGCUUUGGUGCCUUCGGGAACUGAGUGACAGGUGCUGCAUGGCUGUCGUCAGCUCGUGUUGUGAAAUGUUGGGUUAAGUCCCGUAACGAGCGCAACCCUUGUCCUUAUUUGCCAGCACGUAAUGGUGGGAACUUUAAGGAGACUGCCGUGACAAAACCGGAGGAAGGCGGGGAUGACGUCAAGUCAGCAUGGCCCUUACGAGUAGGGCUACACACGUGCUACAAUGGCGCAUACAGACGGUUGCGAAGUCGCGAGAUGGAGCUAAUCUGAGAAAGUGCGUCGUAGUCCGGAUUGGAGUCUGCAACUCGACUCCAUGAAGUCGGAAUCGCUAGUAAUCGUGAAUCAGAACGUCACGGUGAAUACGUUCCCGGGCCUUGUACACACCGCCCGUCACACCAUGGGAGUUGAUUGCACCAGAAGUGGGUAGCUUAACUUUUCUUCGGAAAAAGGGCGCUCACCACGGUGUGGUUGAUGUGGAAGUCGUAACAAGGUAGCCCUAGGGGAACC